AGAUUGAACGCUGGCGGCAGGCCUAACACAUGCAAGUCGAGCGGCAGCACGGGUACUUGUACCUGGUGGCGAGCGGCGGACGGGUGAGUAAUGCCUAGGAAUCUGCCUGGUAGUGGGGGAUAACGCUCGGAAACGGACGCUAAUACCGCAUACGUCCUACGGGAGAAAGCAGGGGACCUUCGGGCCUUGCGCUAUCAGAUGAGCCUAGGUCGAUUAGCUAGUUGGUGAGGUAAUGGCUCACCGAAGGCGACGAUCCGUAACUGGUCUGAGAGGAUGAUCAAGUCACACGUGGAACUGAGACACGGUCCAGACUCCGUACGGGAGCAGCAGGUAGGGAAUAGUGGACAAGUGGGACGAAAGCCUAGAC
This 367-nucleotide ribosomal RNA is filed under the name uncultured soil bacterium. Its description in RNAcentral is "bacterial SSU rRNA". It matches the Rfam family "Bacterial small subunit ribosomal RNA", at positions 26 to 388 of the family's 1533-position model. The record is from RNAcentral.